Molecule: small nucleolar RNA, 78 nt
Organism: Jaculus jaculus (lesser Egyptian jerboa)
Lineage: Eukaryota; Metazoa; Chordata; Mammalia; Rodentia; Dipodidae
Product: small nucleolar RNA SNORD47
Exons: 1
Source: RefSeq, a predicted model, not a curated record
AACCAAUGAUGCUGUGAUUCUGCCAAAUGAUAAGAUGUGAUAUCACACAUAUAACCGUUCCACUUCAUUUCUGAGGUU